RNAcentral lists this ribosomal RNA (1529 nucleotides) under Klebsiella pneumoniae subsp. pneumoniae. RNAcentral describes it as "bacterial SSU rRNA". It matches the Rfam family "Bacterial small subunit ribosomal RNA". Lineage: Bacteria; Pseudomonadati; Pseudomonadota; Gammaproteobacteria; Enterobacterales; Enterobacteriaceae. The record is from RNAcentral.
AGAGUUUGAUCAUGGCUCAGAUUGAACGCUGGCGGCAGGCCUAACACAUGCAAGUCGAGCGGUAGCACAGAGAGCUUGCUCUCGGGUGACGAGCGGCGGACGGGUGAGUAAUGUCUGGGAAACUGCCUGAUGGAGGGGGAUAACUACUGGAAACGGUAGCUAAUACCGCAUAACGUCGCAAGACCAAAGUGGGGGACCUUCGGGCCUCAUGCCAUCAGAUGUGCCCAGAUGGGAUUAGCUAGUAGGUGGGGUAACGGCUCACCUAGGCGACGAUCCCUAGCUGGUCUGAGAGGAUGACCAGCCACACUGGAACUGAGACACGGUCCAGACUCCUACGGGAGGCAGCAGUGGGGAAUAUUGCACAAUGGGCGCAAGCCUGAUGCAGCCAUGCCGCGUGUGUGAAGAAGGCCUUCGGGUUGUAAAGCACUUUCAGCGGGGAGGAAGGCGUUAAGGUUAAUAACCUUGGCGAUUGACGUUACCCGCAGAAGAAGCACCGGCUAACUCCGUGCCAGCAGCCGCGGUAAUACGGAGGGUGCAAGCGUUAAUCGGAAUUACUGGGCGUAAAGCGCACGCAGGCGGUCUGUCAAGUCGGAUGUGAAAUCCCCGGGCUCAACCUGGGAACUGCAUUCGAAACUGGCAGGCUAGAGUCUUGUAGAGGGGGGUAGAAUUCCAGGUGUAGCGGUGAAAUGCGUAGAGAUCUGGAGGAAUACCGGUGGCGAAGGCGGCCCCCUGGACAAAGACUGACGCUCAGGUGCGAAAGCGUGGGGAGCAAACAGGAUUAGAUACCCUGGUAGUCCACGCCGUAAACGAUGUCGAUUUGGAGGUUGUGCCCUUGAGGCGUGGCUUCCGGAGCUAACGCGUUAAAUCGACCGCCUGGGGAGUACGGCCGCAAGGUUAAAACUCAAAUGAAUUGACGGGGGCCCGCACAAGCGGUGGAGCAUGUGGUUUAAUUCGAUGCAACGCGAAGAACCUUACCUGGUCUUGACAUCCACAGAACUUUCCAGAGAUGGAUUGGUGCCUUCGGGAACUGUGAGACAGGUGCUGCAUGGCUGUCGUCAGCUCGUGUUGUGAAAUGUUGGGUUAAGUCCCGCAACGAGCGCAACCCUUAUCCUUUGUUGCCAGCGGUUCGGCCCGGGAACUCAAAGGAGACUGCCAGUGAUAAACUGGAGGAAGGUGGGGAUGACGUCAAGUCAUCAUGGCCCUUACGACCAGGGCUACACACGUGCUACAAUGGCAUAUACAAAGAGAAGCGACCUCGCGAGAGCAAGCGGACCUCAUAAAGUAUGUCGUAGUCCGGAUUGGAGUCUGCAACUCGACUCCAUGAAGUCGGAAUCGCUAGUAAUCGUAGAUCAGAAUGCUACGGUGAAUACGUUCCCGGGCCUUGUACACACCGCCCGUCACACCAUGGGAGUGGGUUGCAAAAGAAGUAGGUAGCUUAACCUUCGGGAGGGCGCUUACCACUUUGUGAUUCAUGACUGGGGUGAAGUCGUAACAAGGUAACCGUAGGGGAACCUGCGGUUGGAUCACCU